UGUCAUAUCGUCUCCGAUUGUGUUUAACAUGUUAUCAAGGCAAAUACAACACUGUAGGUUAGAAAAUGAAGCAUUCCAACUUUUGAGUUAGCCGAAAGCUAACAUUGCAGCGGUGGAACUUGUGUUUGAUAGGCAGCACGUUAUCAUAACCCAACCAGUAAACGCCACUCUGAUUGGCUGAGGCACCACGUCAUCAUAACCCAAGCAGUAAACGCCACUCUGAUUGGCCGAGGCAACAAGCAUUCGGCGCGUACUGCUGAAGCAAGUGGCUGCUCGGCUCUGUUCAGCUUCCAUCAAAUCAAAGCGAUCCAAAAUCAUCGUUUUCUACUCAGUUGAAGGUGGCGUGCGGUGUCUCCUUCAUUUUGGACGUGGAGUGAGGUGUCCUGCCCUUUAGGAGCACCUAAACAAGAUGGCUUUAAGGAUGAGAGAAUGGCGAAAACGCCAAAGAGAACUCAAUCAACUUCUAUGUUAUUCUGACAGCGAUGAUGAACAUUGUGGCAUUAAAAAAAAGUGUGAACGUGCGCCUGGGACUCUGAAUAGUUGUAGCAGUGACAAUGUGCCUGGGACCCCACAUAGUUUCAUCAGUGACAAUGUUCCUGGGAAAUCAGAUAGUUUUGACUUUGACACUGAUGUGGACUAUUGGUCUACUGACUCAGAAAAGGAACCAAAUGAUGAAGCUGAGGUGACCAGCAGCUUUGAAGAUGACCUAAGACAGUGGGCCUUAGACCACAAAUUGACACACAGAGCGCUUAAUGGAUUAUUGUCCAUAUUAAGAAAGCAAGGGCACCUAUUGCCUGUGGAUUGCCGGACAUUCCUUGCUACACCACAGUGUAACACAA
Long non-coding RNA from Sinocyclocheilus rhinocerous, 839 nucleotides. RefSeq lists it as uncharacterized. The transcript has 3 exons. The record is from RefSeq and is a predicted model, not a curated record. NCBI's taxonomy places the organism in Eukaryota, Metazoa, Chordata, Actinopteri, Cypriniformes, Cyprinidae.